CUAUUAUCGAGUCGUACAUCUUAGGAUAAGAGACCUAAGAAGCGGCGAUUCGAGACUAUCGUUAAUCAGGAUUUAGAAGAUCGAGUUUCCUAUCUGGUACUAAAUAAACAGAGAAGAAGCGCGAAUUUGGUGUGAUCGCGCUAAAUGCAGUGGUCGAAGGAGGGAUGGACCCAUCAAUGUUUGUUGCGUAUAAUCCUCAUACAAAUGGCGUUCCACUAGAGUCCAAACUUGCUACCUACAUGAAUCGACACAGUCAAGGAGUAGUUCUAAAUACCCCCGCACUUACAAAACAUUUGGCGGGCCUUACUUUGGAUUCGCAGAAAAA
Megalopta genalis is the source of this 325-nucleotide non-coding RNA. NCBI's taxonomy places the organism in Eukaryota, Metazoa, Arthropoda, Insecta, Hymenoptera, Halictidae. The record is from RefSeq and is a predicted model, not a curated record.